Non-coding RNA from Marmota flaviventris (yellow-bellied marmot), 472 nucleotides. NCBI's taxonomy places the organism in Eukaryota, Metazoa, Chordata, Mammalia, Rodentia, Sciuridae. The record is from the annotation of a RefSeq genome assembly.
CUGUGGGCAGUUCUGCUCAGCUGUGUGUGGGGGAAGCAGAUCCUGGAGCAUCUCCACCAUGGUCUGGACCCAUCUCCUUCUCACCCUCCUCACUCUCUGUUCAGAGUCCCAGGUACACUCUGAGUUGAUCCAAGAAUCUUCGAUGUCAGCAUCUAAAGGGGAGAAGGUCACUCUCUCCUGCACUGGAAAUAGCAACAAUGUUGGAACUUAUUAUGUAGGCUGGUAUCAACAGAUUAUAGGUUCUUCCCCCAAAACUGUGAUGCUUGAAACUACUAGGCCUUCAGGAAUCCCUGAUCGCUUCUCUGGCUCCCAUUCUGGCAACACAGCCACCCUGACCAUCACUGGGCUCCAAGUGGAGGAUGAGGCCAAUUAUUACUGUGAAGCAUGGGACAAAAGCCUCAGUGCUCACACAGUGCUUCAGAUGCAUGGGGAACUGAGACAAAAACCUGCUCUUGCCCUCAUGAGAGGCUGA